UAAGACCUUCAGGGAUAGGUGUAAUUCCUUACCGGCGGUAUGGCCUUGGCCGAGCCCGCGAGCCCCUCGGGGCAGAUCCGGUGAGAAGCCGGAGCCGACAGUGAAAGUCUGGAUGGGAGAAGGUUCAU
This 128-nucleotide non-coding RNA is filed under the name Desulforamulus putei. RNAcentral describes it as "Desulfotomaculum putei FMN sequence". It matches the Rfam family "FMN riboswitch aptamer (RFN element)". From Rfam's summary of the family: The RFN element is a highly conserved domain that is found frequently in the 5'-untranslated regions of prokaryotic mRNAs that encode for flavin mononucleotide (FMN) biosynthesis and transport proteins. This element is a metabolite-dependent riboswitch that directly binds FMN in the absence of proteins. Lineage: Bacteria; Bacillati; Bacillota; Clostridia; Eubacteriales; Peptococcaceae. The record is from RNAcentral.